Molecule: ribosomal RNA, 301 nt
Filed under: uncultured bacterium
Lineage: Bacteria
Description: partial 16S ribosomal RNA
Rfam family: Bacterial small subunit ribosomal RNA
Source: RNAcentral
CAGUCGCCGGGGAAUACGUAGGUGGCAAGCGUUGUCCGGAAUUAUUGGGCGUAAGGGCUCGCAGGCGGUUUCUUAAGUCUGAUGUGAAAGCCCCCGGCUCAACCGGGGAGGGUCAUUGGAAACUGGGAAACUUGAGUGCAGAAGAGGAGAGUGGAAUUCCACGUGUAGCGGAGAAAUGCAUAGAGAUGUGGAGGAACACCAGUGGCGAAGGCGACUCUCUGGUCUGUAACUGACGCUGAGGAGCGAAAGCGUGGGGAGCGAACAGGAUUAGAGACCCGGGUAGUCCCUGUCUCUUAUACAC